Long non-coding RNA from Drosophila rhopaloa, 544 nucleotides. RefSeq lists it as uncharacterized. The transcript has 2 exons. Lineage: Eukaryota; Metazoa; Arthropoda; Insecta; Diptera; Drosophilidae. The record is from RefSeq and is a predicted model, not a curated record.
GCAAAUACGAAGCUUCACAAGUAUAGCUUAAAGAUAGCAUAAUUUUAAAAAUAUAGAUUGUUUUUAGAGUGUCUUUGAACAAUUCAACUGUCAUUUGACAUUCUUGUUCAAUCCUAUUAACAUCAUUGUUUUGUGUGACAGAAUCAUAAAUUUAAAAUUUUCCGGUUCUAAUGGUUCGAUCUAUAAAUAGCUCAAAUUUAACUGGAUUUAUUCAAUCUAAGUAAGUAUCUCAAGAUCCAAACAUUAUGAGCCUUGCAAUAUUCUGUAACAUUUGCCUACUGAUCAUUAUGCAGACGACGACAAGGAAGCCACUAUGCCCUCCACAUUCCAAGCACCCCUGUACCUAACUUAAGGAACAGGACACUACGGUCUUGGAAUGCUAUAUGUAUAUAUACUUCUAAACAUGGAGAACACAUUACUUUUGGUCUUGCCUUUAAAACAUUGGUUGCCAAAAUUAUCUAUGAUUAAAAAAAUUGAUUAAGAAACGUAUAUUUUUUAAAAACUACCGCAGACAAUAUAAAAUAUAUAACUUGAUUCUGACUGA